CAUACACAACCCCCAUGCUGGAUCUGCUACACUCCAAAACAUGUGAGUGACAACAGGCUUGACAGCCCUUGGGGUGGUGAAAGAUCUGGUGAGAGCGAGCCUCCCCAUCAUGCUCAUCAGCUCUGGAAUCCUAUUCAGAAUACUUGCUGAAUCAAGAUUACAUCAACUUCCAGAUUGUGUUCCCUUUAUGACUGGCCAGCUCUACAAUUUCUAAAAAUGGUUUGUACAAGUGUCUGAGAUGUUUUGACCUACUUUGACACAGAGAAUUAUGAUUAUACCAUGGGGAGCUUGGAGAGAGUGAAUGGUAAGAAGAAGAAAUCUCUCCUCAAAUUUUAUGCUUUUUUAAAAAUUGUUUUUAGAGUUCAAUACAGGAGUGUCCAGCAUAUGAUGAAUCUCAUCCUGCUAUCAGAGCACCGUAUUCUAACUACUGAGUGUUUGUCCACCAUUUCUGAAAUACCUGAUCAGAAAAAACAAUUUUAAAUUUGGAGUGCUAUGAAAAUAAAAAUUAUUUUUAUUUUUGGAUAACCCAUUCAACUUUCUUCAAUUAUUUGGCUACUGGAAGCAAUGUGAAGAAAGGUGGUACUACAAUGUCACACUGUAGGAUACUGGUGUGGUGGGGGAUGAGUUGACAGCUGUCUGUGGGAAAAGUUUCAUCUCUUAGUUAUGUCUUUCAGAAGCAGUGGUGGUGCUUCCAGCAACGCUGUGCUAGAGAAAGGCAGGACCAUGAUGGAUCUUGUCCCCAGAGGUAAUGUGACUUGAAGGCACCACCUGAGCCUUGCAGCAUAACCCAUGGCUGAAGGGUGAAGGAAACUCAGCCAUUUCCUGCAUAGCAGAGAUGGAUCUACUUUUGUACAUAUCAGGUAAAAACUGCUAUUGUCAGUAAACCACUGCUUGUGUCUUCUGCCAGUGGUUUGGUAGCUGCCUUCAGGACUAAACUUGUGAGGCUCAGUCAGAGAGACAGGUCCUGUGUGUUUUGAUUUAGAUAAAUGCAUUCUACACAUGUGUUUGAUGUUCAAGGCCAGAAGAAGGGAGGGUUGAGGCUCACUCAGGUUCAAAAAUCACACAGGCAAUUAACACAGAGGUAAGCAGUUUGAGGAAGAGUGGCUGCUGCUAUUUUAAAGUGAACGUGAAAAGCUGCCAAGAAUAUCUGGUAUGAACGCCCUAUCCUUACUUUCUCUGAGUAAUCACACAGUUAUCUGUAUGAACACACAAGUGUGUUCCCCUUGGCUUGAGGGUAACAAGAACUAAAGACCCUACCAUAUGGUUAGCUUUAAAUUUAGAGGUAAUAAAAUAGAUUGGGAGAGCUUGGAUGAUUUCCAAAGUCUGCCGAGGUUUGUAUUUCAUUCUUCUGGUGUGAUCUGCAAUAAAUCCUUUUUUUCUUCGCCUAGAUACGAUAAUAUUACCUUUCUCUUCAACAUUUAUUUCUCUAAUCUGUGUAAAUUUCUAAUAAGGGAAUUCUUGUUUAUUGGUGCUCAUGGAGAAUUUGGGCUGUGAGGCCCAAAUCUUGGUUCAUGCUCCAGGCAGUACUUUCAUACAGGUAAUAAUAAUAUUGAUAUACUUUUGAUAAGUGCAAAUAAAGAAACUCCUUGGAGAGAAAUAGAGGAUAGAAUUAUAGUGAAUGAAGAUUUAAGACUGACAUCAUGCAGGAAGGUUUUACAGGAAUUUUAAAGUGAUAUUUUAAAGUAAUGAUUUCAAAGAUAUAAAUAGCAGUUAUGCUGCAUACUGUCAUUUCCUUUAUGUGGCAAUCAGCUAUUAUUAGAUAUUUUUGCCUUUGAAAGGUGCAUAACUAAAACAAAUAUAUAAGGAACAUUGCUGUUCAGUAGAAUUCAACACAAAAAAAAAUCCUAAAAUUACUUAAGAUUCUUAAUUCAUAAUCAUUGACAGUAAUUCUUAGUGAUGUUGAUAGUUGGACUAAAUGCCAAAAAUUGCCAAACAAAUGACAGUUUGAAAGCUGAGAUCUCACACACUAGUCAAAAUCGGGUCAAACCUAGUUUUUUAGAAUGCUUUAUCCAUUAGCCAGUUCAACACACACAGUCAACAGCUAAAGUUUGGCUUCAUACACCAGAGAUUCUCAGCGAGGGAGAGUGGCAGGAAGAAAUUUUUAAGAGGUUCACAUUCUUUCUGCCAACUACUCUAUUAGGAUGAGUGAAGUUUAAAUUACUUGAUUGAAAACUUCUUUUAUUUGCUCAGCCUUGAAGUUAAAGCUGUCCUCUCCCUUGACUUCUGUGUCCAUGAAAUGGACAGAGUUGAUAGCCCAUAAAAUAGACUAACUUUUCACUAGCAUGCUAUUAAUAUUUUGUCAUCUGAAAAGAUCAAGAAAACUAGAACUAUAUAUGAGUUUAUUUCUCCUUGGAAAAACAUGUUAAAAAAACUUUAAGUCUGAAAGGAAGUGGUAGCAUUUUUUUUGGUUUGUGAAUAGUUUUAUUUUUUAAUUCAAAUUGAAAAAAAUGCAAUCUUUUCAAAGGGAAAAUACUACCAACCUUUUAGAUUUACCAAACUUUUCAAAACCAGCUGAGACAUUUGCCUGCAGGACCUGUACAUUUUCAGAGAUACCCCAAUAUUUAAAGGCUCUCUAAUGAUCAAGUUGAUUGUAAAUAUCUAUUACUAAAUGAGAUAUUGUAUUGAAUAGAAAUUUAAUAUUCUAUUACCUUAUAGUAUACCUAAUAUACAAUUUAAUCCAUAUUUUAACUCUACCUUAAACUUUUGUUGAGUAUUAUAAUAAAUGAUUGUAUCUGAAUGAGUUGGAUCUUUACUCUGGAUAGUGGUUCAGAGCUUUAAACCUGUUGUUGCAAACAAUUAAUUGUUCCUUUUCUUUUUGUUUCUCUAUGAUUUCCCAAAGUUUUUAAGUGGCAAUUGGAAAGAAUAUGUAUUUUAGAGUGUCAAAUCUAGCAAACUAGGAGCCAGAUACCAACAAUUCCUAAGUUAAAUCUCUGACAGUAUUCUGGAAAAAAAAAAAGAUUUGAGGGAUUAUCAGUUUUCCAAAUAGCAAUUUCAGAAUAUCUUUAAUAUGCCUGUUGGAAAAAAUAAAUCUGAUUUUCUUAAAAGUAGCAGUCUGUCAAGCACUUAACACAGUCAUGGUCUUACUGUUUUAACAAGUAGAACUAGCAUUAUUUUGCAGACUCAGCUUUUUUCUUUUGCAUAUAAUAACAAAGAAUCUUUACAUGUUGCUUGGUUUGAAGAAAGUUAUUUGGUGAUAUUCCCAUCUGCUUUCAGAGGGGUGGCAUAAUGGAACUCCUGGCCCACAGGGUGCUGAACCACAGAAGGAUUUGGGCUGGUAGGGCCCUCCAGAGAUCUCUCUAGUCCAUAUGCUAUUGAGGUGAGUAAGACUAACUUAGAAGUUAGACCUGAAUCUUCUGUGUCUUAGCGAGUUUUGUAUAUAUUCAGGGUUGAAGAGACUACAGCAUUCUGGACAUGCUUCUUGUGAUUUUUUUUUUUUUUCCCUCACUUGUUCAAAAUUUCCUUUGUUUCAAUACACAGUUUGAAGAAAGAAAUGUCUGUCUCAGCCUCUCCUACAAUCCCCCUCUAUGUAGUUGAAUAGUUCAUUGAGAUCCCCCUUAAUGAGGCAAGCUUCACUCAUUCACACUCUCCUUAUGGAUCAUAAAGCCAUAUCCCUGCUGGGCUGGAACCAGUGGGUCAAUAUGUAUUACAUAUUGGGGAACCCAAACCCUUGGCUUUAUGCAGGACACUGCUGAGUGUUCUUACUUGUCCUUUUCUCUUUGUCGCACUGCAUCUACCCCUGCUCAGGCAUGACCAUGACUUAACCAGAAGCCUCUGAGCAAAAUCUACCCUGCUUCACAUUUUGCCUGCCGCCUCUGCAGGUUCUUCAAGUGGUCCUUUAUAAAUAAAAGGGAGUUAUUCUCCUUCAGCCUCUACCAUGUCUGAGACCUCAGAAUCUUUCUCAGAGCCCAUGCUGCUGCAGCACAAGGGGUGAUCACUGCAGGCUGUUCCCAGGAUUGUGCUCCUUAGCACAUCUUCAUCUGUUUCCUUGGGCAGGCACCCUGCAUCCCGCACCACUGGACUCAAUGGACAACCUCACCUUAUCAUCUGUAUUGUUCUCCAUGGGGUUGUGGAGAUAAAGUCAAAUAAAAUCUAUUCUUUAUUUUUAGAUCCUCCUGCACCCAGGAACAAAUAAUGAACUAGGUAAUAGGUAAUUAUCUAGGUAAUUAUCUAGUUGCAUUUUUUUAUGUCUGACUGAAUAGUGUCUCACAUUGAAGGAAUAACAAAUGUUCCCAAUGACUUCGGUGGAGUGGGACUUAUCCCUGUUGUUUAUGAAGACUCCCUUUGCUGGUGAGUAUCUGGGACCUGAAAUACCUGGUAGCUUCUGACAGAAAAAGCAGAAGUUUAUCCUUAUUCAAAUAUUUAUGAAAUAAAUAUAACAAAACUAGAUCAAACAUUAAACUCCCUCCACCCUGCCCCAAGGAAAUGCGCCUUUAGUAACUGAAUAACAAUCAGAAUACAUACAAGACUUAUUCUGCUAAAUAUAAACGGUAAAUUUGUUAGGUUGGCUAUUGAACAUCACUUUAAUAGCAUUGAUUACUAAAGAAAUUUCCAUUUCACUAUCAUUUAAUAUUCAUAGCUCUUACAUACUUCUUUUAAUUGUUCUGGAAUAUAAUGAACCAAGUUAAAUUAAGUUGCUCUGUAAUCAAUAAUAUGUUACUCUGCCACACGAAGUUCAAGAAGUGUUCAUGAAAUAGGGAGCACAAAAUGAUUGUAAAUACAUUUGGAAGAGACAAGACAAAAGUUACUUUACAAAACACAGGAAGGACUACUUGAAGUCUUUUCUUAAUACCUUUCUUUUAUAGAACAUAAAGGAUUUUGUUAAUAUAUUCUUUUGAAAAUAAAAGACAAAAUGGCAUAAAUCACACUAUAGCUGUUCACUUGUGUUCAUGGGAAAAUUUGUACAAAUGUGCCUUAGUAUGAUUCAAAUAAAGAUUAGAUUCACAUUAGUAAGAAUGUAAAAGUAGGUAGAUAUCUGAAGUUUUUCUAGCUCAGAAGGCAUCUACAAAGGCUAUUUAUUAACUGAUUUGGUAAUUAACCAAGCUUACCCAAGAUCAGAAAAGACAUCACAACUAUUGUGAUGAAUUUUCUAAACUAUUAGUCCUUAUAUACUGUAUCAUUCUUUAAAUAUCACCCCUGCUUGAACAAAUGGUGUUGCACUGAUCUUUUCAAAUAAUGACAAUACUUUGUGAGACUUUUUUGUUGCUGACCUAAAUAAACAGGUUAUGAUGUCUGUGGACACUCCCCUUUUAGAAAAAAAGGUAAGAGAUCAGCUUGUGGGUUUAUCUAGUGGUAUGCAUAUAUCAGCUACUUGUUCUUCCUUCAGUCAUAGCAAUCAUCUGUGGUAGCUUCAGUCAGCUUAAAAGCCAAAAUUUCCUUUCUAUGGAAAACAUGCAGGAACAGAAGUGAUCUCAGAGCUGAUCUCAUCCCAGGAUCAGGCGGGGACAUGAUUAAGGAAUGAUUUAGGACUCAAACCCUGGAGCUGAGGAACGCUCCUGGGUCCUGUAGAUAAACACUGUCUUGCCUAAAGCUGUAUAAGGCAAAUGUUUGUCUGAGAUUACAAUCAUAGACCUGCAAAUUUAAAGUUUUCAGGUGAGUGUAUUAAUAUUGCAAAAGUACCUUGUUCCCUUUUACACAUUUUUUUUUAUCAUCAGUAUAAUCUGGCUUGCUAGAACCUGGCCUUGCAGACCGCUGUGUUCAUGCAUGACCAGGUUACAGCUAAUCUUUAAAGAAUUUAACAGUCAUCUUUUCUAUGCCAGUGACUGCACCAAAUUGAAAUAUAUUAAUAAUUUACAAUUAUAGUUCAGACUAUUUGUUGUAAAACCCGCAGAAAACAACCAGAAAAAUAAGCAUAAUGAAAACCCUACAGAUUAUAAUAUCAGGAAAGCAUUUUAUGUCUUGUAUAAAUACAGGGUAACUCAAAGAGCAAAAAAGUUACAUUUUUUUGAAAUAAAUGGUAGCCGAUAAAGCAAUCUACCUACCAAGUCACUGAGUAUCUAUCCAAUUUCCACGUUUCCUCUUGAUGCCUUGCAGCCUGUGGGACAAGAGGUGUUUGAAUGACAAAUGCUUCAUAACUGGAUGCUAGUUUCUGGGAGACCUUGGUAAACUGAAUACUGUUUCAAAAAGCAAAAUUCCAGUUAACCUGUAUCUGGAACAUUCUAGUUUUGGCAAGUGUGUAUGUGUUUCUGUUUUCAGCAAUCCUACGACAUAGUUAGAAUGUUUUAAUGUAUGAUUUUGGUACAGUCAGUUUCUUAGGAAACCUGUUUGAAACCAGUGAACCUUUGAGGGAUGUUAAUCAAUAGAAAUGAAUACAUUGAUAAGGAAAAAAGAUUUAAUUCUACCAAAUACUUGUUCAGAUUAGCCAAUGCAAGGAAUCUGGAUCUGACCAAAGAAUUUUCAUUUUUAUUUAUGAUUGUGUUUUUUUUAAGCUUUCUAUUCUGUUCUAUUUCUAUUUCUAUUUCUAUUUCACUGUCUGAAUCAGCUUUUGCUAACCAUUUUCCAUGAUAGCUUAAGUGCCAACAAUGGAACAAAGAAAACAGUGCAAGAUUAUAUGAAUUUCUUAAGAUAAAUGGUUUGCUUAAGAGUAAUAUUAAUUAGGUGCAUCUCUACAGAAGAUAUUGAUUUUAUUAAAAAUAAACAUUAUUGGAACAGUUUUAACAUUUAUUGUCAUCAUAAAAAAGUUCUCUCAUGAAAACUGUUUGGAAUUUCAAGCUUGACUGAACUUGAAAAAUGCAGAGCAAAAUUUUGCCAGAUUUCAUCUGACUCCUUCUCUGGCAUAUAAAACUUGGAUGAGGUUUUGAUACUUCUGGAGCAGAUUGAGAAAAUAGGUCCAAGCUUCAGAUGUGUGAGAAAACCCUCUUGUGUUCUUUUUCAAGGAUUUUCUUUCCCUAUCUUUCACUGACUUUAUAUGACCUUCAACAACACAAAUCACUUAAAAAUAUUGUGUCCUGAAUUUUUCCUAAAUAUAGGAAUUAUGUACUACAUUAGUAGGGAUGUUAUGGCCUAAAUUUAUUUAUUUUUUUAAGCUUAUUUUAAAAACAAAGCAGUAAAUGACCGUACAACUUUACAAUUGUGACAAUUUCACCAUGAGAAAUUGAGGUAGAACUGUAUCUCUUCAGAUAUGCUUUCCCAUUUUAAAGUCAGUUUACAUGAACCAAACUUAUGCCCCCUUAAUAUUCUUCAUAUAAACCCACCACAAUUCUCUAAGCGCUCAUUUUGCUCACAAACCUAUUCAGUUUGUGUGAAUAGGUUUAGCUGGCUGGACUGUUUGUGAAAACUGCAUUUAACAUUCAUGCAAGAUGAGCACUCACUUCUGGCAGUGUUAUCACAGACAGCCAAUCAGAGAUUGGUAGCAAUUUUGUGCAAAUUAAUUGACCAGUCACAUCUAACAGUUUAAAUAACAAAUACAACAUGGGACAGAUUUUGACAUGUUUGAAUAGUUCUUUUGUUCAUUACACUCAGGCUCCCACAGAAAGCCAGUAUUCAGGGUGAGCAAGACUACUGACUGAUGGCUAAUCUGCAUUUGCUACAAGACUAGAGUCUCAUGACCAAGCUGUAAAAAUUAAGGAAUAAUAAUUAAUUGGAUAAUUUAAAGUAGAUAUCUAAUAAAAACAUUAGUAAUGGUAAGAAGUCUCUCAUGAGCAGGAAAAAUUAGAUCAUUGCAGAAUGAUUCACUGUGGAUUAUUCACACAGCUGUAGAAAUUAUUCAGACUGACAGAUUGAUGAGUAGAACAUGCCCAUAAAGACGGGAUAUUUCUCACUCUUUGUUAUCAUUUCUUUGCUACACAUUCUACAGCUUUGACUGUGAUUCUACAAGUUCAUACAAAGCAAGGAAAGCUACCAAACAGGAUAAUCUCUGAUUUUACUACCAGCACAAAAUUAAAGGAUAGAACCCAACAGGAGCAAUUGGAUGAAGAAAGAAAUGGAAAUUACAUUCUUAAUUAACAAUGGAGUUAUCAACUAAAAUGCAUAUUAUGCCCUCUUGGGCUUAAGUUUGUAAGAGAUGUGCAGAAAAUGUUGGAGUUAGCUGACUGAUUUUGAAUAUAGUCAAGUAAAAUUAUUUUUAGUAAUAAACAAACUAACAGUCAUAGGAAAAGAGUAACCUUUUUUUUUUUUUUUCUUUGCAAUCCAAAGCAAACUUCCAAUUGUUAAAUUACUGUGAUGAAAUAUGUUGUGAAACUUCACUGACAAGGGCAUAAUAUUUUUCCAAAAUAAUAUGUUUUUAAACUGACAUCUUCCUUUUUCUUCAAGUAACAAUAGUAUUUAUGUAGUUUUGAAUAGAUUUUUCCUGUUGAAGUCACAAUAAUAUUGAACUUGAUCAAGUUUAACCUGAUGAAUUUAUGAAUUCAUGCUUUUAAUUUAUAGCAUGAAGAACUUUAGCUAAAGGUAGCUUCUAUAUUGGCAAUUUUACAGCUUAGUUACUAUAAAAAAUUUACAAUAAAUGGAACUUAGUCUUUGGAAAGAUAGAAAAUGAGUCUGUCAUCUUACUUGAAUAUGGAGCUGCUAUUUUAAAUACUACAGCUGGUAUACUUUGAUUAAACAAUGCCUAUUAAAUGGAUUACUUUAAAUGGAAAUUUUGUAGUGCUUGAAUUUGGAUAGGAGAAGCUAAAUUUGUAGACAUAUCUGCACUAUUUCAGCUGCACAGUGCAAUGAAGUUUUAAUCAAAGAAAUGUCAUAAAAUGUUUGACCUUUUGGAUUUUAUUUGUACUAUUCUGAAGCCAUCCCAGAAAGAUUAUAUAUUAAACAUGAAAUAAGAAAGUAUUUUGCCUUUAUUUUUUAUGUGCUAUGGUGUUCUAUGUACCUUUUACUGAAAUAUUAAAAAAAAAAAAAAAAAAA
Molecule: long non-coding RNA, 8832 nt
Organism: Taeniopygia guttata (zebra finch)
Lineage: Eukaryota; Metazoa; Chordata; Aves; Passeriformes; Estrildidae
Source: Ensembl